This 253-nucleotide ribosomal RNA is filed under the name uncultured bacterium. RNAcentral's name for it is "partial 16S ribosomal RNA". It matches the Rfam family "Bacterial small subunit ribosomal RNA", at positions 524 to 776 of the family's 1533-position model. The record is from RNAcentral.
UACGUAGGGGGCAAGCGUUGUCCGGAUUUAUUGGGCGUAAAGAGCGUGUAGGCGGUCAGGUAGGUCCGUUGUGAAAACUCGAGGCUCAACCUCGAGACGCCGAUGGAAACCAUCUGACUAGAGUCCGGAAGAGGAGAGUGGAAUUCCUGGUGUAGCGGUGAAAUGCGCAGAUAUCAGGAAGAACACCCGUGGCUAAGGCGGCUCUCUAGUACGGUACUGACGCUGAAACGCGAAAGCGUGGGGAGCGAACAGG